UAGGUAGGUGGUCUCAUUUGUCUGGGGUGAAAGCCUUGAGCUUAACUCAAGAAGUGCCCCGGAAACGGUGAGACUGGAGUCCUGGAGAGGGUCGUGGAAUUCCCGGUGUAGCGGUGAAAUGCGUAGAGAUCGGGAGGAACACCAGAGGCGAAGGCGGCGACCUGGACAGGUACUGACACUCAACUACGAAAGCGUGGGGAGCAAACAGGAUUAGAUACCCUGGUAGUCCACGCUGUAAACGAUGGGUACUAGGUUUGGUGGGUCUUGACCCCCGCGAACCGGCGCUAACGCAAUAAGUACCCCGCCUGGGAAUACGGUCGCAAGACUAAA
Molecule: ribosomal RNA, 330 nt
Filed under: uncultured bacterium
Lineage: Bacteria
Description: bacterial SSU rRNA
Rfam family: Bacterial small subunit ribosomal RNA
Source: RNAcentral